Molecule: ribosomal RNA, 1612 nt
Filed under: Isocapnia hyalita
Lineage: Eukaryota; Metazoa; Arthropoda; Insecta; Plecoptera; Capniidae
Description: partial 28S ribosomal RNA
Rfam family: Eukaryotic large subunit ribosomal RNA
Source: RNAcentral
ACUAACUAGGAUUCCCCUAGUAGCUGCGAGCGAACAGGGAGAAGCCCAGCACUGAAUCCUGCGUGCCGUGCGCACGCGUGGAAAUGUAGUGUUUGGGAGGAUCCGAUCAUCUCGUGCAGUCGCACCAGUCCAAGUCCAUCUUGAAAGCGGCCACAGCCCGUAGAGGGUGCCAGGCCCGUAGGACGGUCGACGCAUGCACGAAAGGAUCUCUCCCAGAGUUCAAGAGUACGUGAAACCGUUCGGGGGUAAACGGAUGAAAUUUGGAAAAUCGAAGGGAGAGAUUCAAGCCUCACUGUCGCGCGUUGCGCGGGUGGCCCCCGAUGGGGGAUCGGGGCCCGUGCGCGGAAGCAAUUCCCGCCGGUGUCCUUCGGUCUUCCCACGUGGCGUCGUCGCUCCGCUCGCCGGCGUCUGGCCGCACUUUUCUCCUUGUAGUACGUCGCGACCCGUUGGGCGCGUGUCCAAGGCCCGCCGUGGAGCCGGCUCGAGUCGCUGCGGCUUGGCUUCGGCCAUUGCCCGCGCUCGGUCGACCGCGCGGUGUCCCGACACGCGGGCUCGACGGUAGACACUAGUCGGUCCGAAAAGAACCCCACCUCCGCGUGGGGCGGCUCCUCAAGGGGCACGGUCCGCGUCUGCGACGCUCUAUCCAGAGCAUCAUCCGACCCGUCUUGAAACACGGACCAAGGAGUCUAACAUGUGCGCGAGUCAUUGGGACCGUACUAAACCUAAAGGCGUAAUGAAAGUGAAUGUCGGCCACCUCGGUGGUGCGGGCAGAGGGGAGAUGUCGACCGCGCGAGCCGCGUGUCGAUCGCAUCCCCGGGGCGUCUCGUCGUCAUCGCGACGCAGCAGGCGCACCCAGAGCGUACACGUUGGGACCCGAAAGAUGGUGAACUAUGCCUGGUCAGGUCGAAGUCAGGGGAACUGGCACUCGGAGUAAAACGAAAUCGGUGAUUGGUUCGGCCCUUGCGUCUCCCUCGGGGGGCGCAUCGAGUCGCCCACCGGAAACCAGUCUCAUCUGGUAAAGCGAAUGAUUAGAGGCCUUGGGGCCGAAACGACCUCAACCUAUUCUCAAACUUUAAAUGGGUGAGACAUUCGACUUGCUUGAAUGCUUGUCGUUGAAGUCGAACCACGUGUGGAGAGGAUGAAAGAGUGCCAAGUGGGCCAAUUUUGGUAAGCAGAACUGGUGCUGUGGGAUGAACCAAACGCCGAGUUAAGGCGCCUAAAUCGAUGCUCAUGGGAUACCAUGAAAGGCGUUGGUUGCUUAAGACAGCAGCGAUGUUGAUGUGCAGUCGCAAAAUCGUUCGGCUUAAUUGCAAAUGAGAUCGAUGGACCACAUAGGGCGAAAGGGAAUCCGGUUCCUAUUCCGGAACCCGGCAGCGGAACCGACCAUGCGGGCCAAUGUCUAGCGAUAGGCAACUCGUCGGGGUAACCCAAAAAGACCCGGAGACGCCGUCGGAUGAUCGGGGCAGAGUUUUCUGUUCUGUAUGAGCGUUCGAGUUCCCUGGAAGCGCCUAGCGCGGAGAUAGGGUUUGGAACGCGAAGAGCACCGCACUUGCGGCGGUGUCCCGAUCUAUUCCUCGGACCUUGAAAAUCCGGGAGAGGGCCACGUGGAGGU